RNAcentral lists this ribosomal RNA (372 nucleotides) under uncultured organism. RNAcentral describes it as "bacterial SSU rRNA". It matches the Rfam family "Bacterial small subunit ribosomal RNA", at positions 526 to 896 of the family's 1533-position model. The record is from RNAcentral.
CGUAGGGUACGAGCGUUAAUCGGAAUUACUGGGCGUAAAGCGUGCGCAGGCGGUUUUGUAAGACAGGCGUGAAAUCCCCGGGCUCAACCUGGGAACUGCGCUUGUGACUGCAAGGCUAGAGUACGGCAGAGGGGGGUGGAAUUCCACGUGUAGCAGUGAAAUGCGUAGAGAUGUGGAGGAACACCAAUGGCGAAGGCAGCCCCCUGGGUCGAUACUGACGCUCAUGCACGAAAGCGUGGGUAGCAAACAGGAUUAGAUACCCUGGUAGUCCACGCCCUAAACGAUGUCAACUAGGUGUUGGGUGGGUAAAACCAUUUAGUACCGGAGCUAACGCGUGAAGUUGACCGCCUGGGGAGUACGGCCGCAAGGUUA